AUAAAGUAAGCUAAUACAAGCUAGUGGGUUCAUACCCCAAAUAUGAAUUGUUUCCUUUAUU
RNAcentral lists this transfer RNA (61 nucleotides) under Ixodes pavlovskyi. RNAcentral describes it as "tRNA-Met". Lineage: Eukaryota; Metazoa; Arthropoda; Arachnida; Ixodida; Ixodidae. The record is from RNAcentral.